Molecule: ribosomal RNA, 468 nt
Filed under: uncultured bacterium
Lineage: Bacteria
Description: partial 16S ribosomal RNA
Rfam family: Bacterial small subunit ribosomal RNA
Source: RNAcentral
GACGAACGCUGGCGGCGUGCUUAACACAUGCAAGUCGAACGGAAAGGCCCUGCUUUUGUGGGGUGCUCGAGUGGCGAACGGGUGAGUAACACGUGAGUAACCUGCCCUUGACUUUGGGAUAACUUCAGGAAACUGGGGCUAAUACCGGAUAGGAGCUCCUGCUGCAUGGUGGGGGUUGGAAAGUUUCGGCGGUUGGGGAUGGACUCGCGGCUUAUCAGCUUGUUGGUGGGGUAGUGGCUUACCAAGGCUUUGACGGGUAGCCGGCCUGAGAGGGUGACCGGCCACAUUGGGACUGAGAUACGGCCCAGACUCCUACGGGAGGAAGCAGUGGGGAAUAUUGCACAAUGGGCGGAAGCCUGAUGCAGCAACGCCGCGUGCGGGAUGACGGCCUUCGGGUUGUAAACCGCUUUCGCCUGUGACGAAGCGUGAGUGACGGUAAUGGGUAAAGAAGCACCAGCUAACUACGUG